UACGAAGGGGGCUAGCGUUGCUCGGAAUCACUGGGCGUAAAGCGCACGUAGGCGGAUUUCUAAGUCAGGGGUGAAAUCCUGGAGCUCAACUCCAGAACUGCCUUUGAUACUGGGAAUCUCGAGUCCGGGAGAGGUGAGUGGAACUGCGAGUGUAGAGGUGAAAUUCGUAGAUAUUCGGAAGAACACCAGUGGCGAAGGCGGCUCACUGGACUGGUAUUGACGCUGAGGUGCGAAAGCGUGGGGAGCAAACAGG
Molecule: ribosomal RNA, 253 nt
Filed under: uncultured bacterium
Lineage: Bacteria
Description: partial 16S ribosomal RNA
Rfam family: Bacterial small subunit ribosomal RNA
Source: RNAcentral